RNAcentral lists this long non-coding RNA (867 nucleotides) under Vulpes vulpes (red fox). Its description in RNAcentral is "lncRNA (ENSVVUG00000014334.1)". Lineage: Eukaryota; Metazoa; Chordata; Mammalia; Carnivora; Canidae. The record is from RNAcentral.
AAAAACUACGAGGAUCAACUUGCUUACCAACUUACCAAAAAAAAAAAAAUAGCAAUAUUUUGUACAACAGAUGUAUGGACGACUUACUUCAUGUUGACAACUCUUAUUUUUUUACACAAUACUUCAUGCACAAGAUUCAGAAGAGUCAGUAGCUAGAAACAUUUUGGCAAGAGGGAUCACAUGCUGUGUGCAGUCAAAGCUUCAGUGACUACUAUUUUCAUUUUCAUGGACUAUUGGACAUUCAUUGAAUCUAAUACUCAAGAUUCUACCAAGUUAAAGACCUGUAUGUGACCAGGAAGGGAAAAUAAACACAAAGUAUAUCCUAAAAGGAGGAGCAUGAGUACGGAAAACUUGAAGCUACCUUUAUUUUUGAAAACAGCAUCCUCAGAGCUUUUGGUUGAUCCAUAUACUCAUUCUCAAAAUAUGAGGAAUACAGAAAACUCCUGCUAUGGCAACUCAAAUCUUGUGAAUGGUCUGCAAGAGAGCUCCUUGGUGAAGAGUGGCAUGCCCAAUACCAUGGGAGACUGUUCACUGAUUAUCUGCUGAACCCUGAAAGCAUAUUUGAAUUAGCCCUCAAAAUGUAUUGCACAGAAUAUGUGUUUCCUGUUCAUAAAAAGCUUUGAUAUCCAAGAGGGAACUACUACCUAUACCACAUAAUGAAACACUUUUGCCCAUUUUCUCCUCACUGGGCUCAUUCUACAACUUGCCUGAAUGAGUAAGGUACCCCACCAGAGCUGUGGGUUAGAGAAAGGAAGACAAAAAAAAAAAAAAGAAUAAGAGAAGUAGAAGAAUAGAUCAUGCUCUCAUACCUUUCCCUGUGAAUGAUGCUAAACCAUGGUUCUGAUGUGAGCCCAGAAUAAAAUAAAU